RNAcentral lists this long non-coding RNA (13485 nucleotides) under Nicotiana benthamiana. RNAcentral describes it as "long non-coding RNA (NBEN_LNC036261)". Lineage: Eukaryota; Viridiplantae; Streptophyta; Magnoliopsida; Solanales; Solanaceae. The record is from RNAcentral.
UCCUGUCGGGGGCGCUGAGGUGAUUCGCUAAUGAUCAUAUAGAGACCGGCGGAAAAAAAAGUACAUAUUACAUGGUUCGUGACCCACACUUCAUGUUACGAAGCCUCUAAGGAUACAAGAUGACAGUACAAUAAUUUCCAGUAACAAGGCUCCGGCUAUACCUUUUUACAAAAACAAAAAUAAGACUCCAAAAUACAAGAACGAGGGUGGCAUGAGCCACGCCGGGCCCCGAAGGAAAGGGGCUCACAAAUAGAGCUGACAGGGAAUGAGGAAGAUCUACUGAUGGUGGACUGGGGUACCUGCUGAAGAUCCACCUACAAUCAUAACACGAAUGUAGCGCCCCCGGCAAAAGGGACGUNNNNNNNNNNNNNNNNNNNNNNNNNNNNNNNNNNNNNNNNNNNNNNNNNNNNNNNNNNNNNNNNNNNNNNNNNNNNNNNNNNNNNNNNNNNNNNNNAAUUUAGCAUACAAUAUUUGAAUUGUACUGGUAUGUAUGAAUAAAACUUUUCCCAUGUAAACUCAAGCCAUAAAGCAAAUAGAACACAGCAAUGGAAGCAUCAACCAAACACACACAUAGAGGGUACAAUUAGUCAAACAAAUGGGCAAUUAGUGCCCUACAGGAUACAAACUCUCUUGCUGUCUCCUUUCACGAUUCCAUAUCAUUGAUUUCAUAAUUUUGUUCUACGUGUGUGUAUGUAUAUAUAUAUAUANNNNNNNNNNNNNNNNNNNNNNNNNNNNNNNNNNNNNNNNNNNNNNNNNNNNNNNNNNNNGUCUCCUUUCACAUUUUCACAUUUAUCAUUUCAUGAUUCAUAUUCAUAUCAAUAGUGAUAUUGGAUCACAUUUUCCACCCUUAUUGCCUCCUCCGCCCUUAUUACCUCGGCCACCCUUAUUACCUCGGCCACCCUUAUCACACCAACCUACACCUUAUUUCACCGUGUUGCGUCGCGCAACCUGACCCCGCCGUACAGCUUCAAUUCACAACAGACACAACCAAACAACAAGUCACAAACAUAAACAACAAGUACAUCUCAAGACGUCGCCACAAUAGUGUUACAGUACUGAUUUCAUUACGUUCAACAAUUCAUACUCAAUUCAAGUUACCAUAAUUACCCACAACAUUUCAAGUACAUUGUGACCACAAUUUACGGGUUCCUUCAAUCACUUUUUAUUCAACUUUUACCACAAGGUGUUUUCACAAUCAAGCCAGUCACAAGAAACUCACCAAUAACUAACGCAUAUAUCAACUACAAAACAAUUCACAUACCAAGCAAGGCGAUUUCACAAGAAUCAAGGUUAGCUAUACAUACCUGGAGUCGAAUUUCCUUUUUAUGCUCCUAUUCUCAGUCACCAAGCUAUCUAGAACAUCCCUCUACUUCUAUCCAAUUUUCCCUUCACUAGUUUCUAGGUUUGAGUGACAUGCAUGAGGUUUUUCAGUUGUAAGUUCAAAAUUAAAGCAUCAGAUUCCCUUCCCUUGACUAAACAUAGAAAAAUAGGGGAAAGAUUUAGGGGUCUUACCUGAAAGAGUGGAGAUGGAGACAAUAACUUAAAAUAUUUCGGCCCGGAUGGUUUUGGAGGAUCAAUUUGAUGGAAAUUACUUUCUCUCUCAAGAACCCUCCCUUCCCUCUCUCUUGUUUUGUUUAGAAAAUGUGUAAAAAUGAGGGGUUAGGGUGUUUUAUUAGAAAAGGGUCAGGCUUAAAUUUUUAGAAAACUGAUGUUCGCGACGGAUCUGCGGACAAAUAUGCGAUCGCAUAGCUGACAUGCCGUCUGCAUAUUGGACCGCAGAAUGGUCUCAAAUUGCAAGCCUCUCUGUUUGGGUAUGCGGUGAGAAUGCGGUCCGCAUACACGUUCUGCGAUCGCAGAUUGCACAGCAGAAUUGACCUCCACAAAUCCUCGAGAAAUUUAGGGGAUGACUAUGCGGUCCGCAUAUUUGUUAUGUGACCGCAUAAUGGAACGCGUUUUCAACAUCCAAUUUGUCUAAUCUUUGAUUCACUCUGCGGUCGAUAUGUGCUCCGCAUACCUGAUCUGCGAAUGCAUUCCUGACCGCAGAACGAUGUUUUCCGGAAAUAUUUGACUCUAGAUUUUUAAGUGUAAAAUUUGUAGAAAAUUAUUCCGACACAUCGAUGGACCCGACUCCAUGAGUUGUUAGGACUUGAGCACUCAUUUUCACGGGGUCUUACAUCCUUCCCCGCUUAAGAUCAUUCUUCCUUGAAUGAGAACUUCAAAAUUCAAAUGGUUUGAAAGCAUGAUAUGCAAGUUCCGAAGUUUUCACUAACUAUUAUGAUUUAGAAAGAAAUUUCGCCAGAGUUUCCUUUGUAAUAUGGACUUAUCCACCUGUCAGCGAGUCCCAAAAACAGAUGUCCAAGCACCAUUAGACAAUUCUUGCUACCCCGAUCACAGUUAUACAAUGCACGACCUUCACAUAUAUACGUAUUCAACCUCUCGAUACACUUUUAAGCAUUUUGGCACACCACAUGUAAUUAAAUUAAGCAUUAAUCAUUUGUACUAUCAAAGCCAUUUACAUAUCACAAGAGUAUGAUACAAUUAAUCAUUUCAAUACAAUUCCUCCAUGCAAAAUUAAUCACUGUUUCCUUACAUCACCUUACCAUGGGCUAAUUAUCUACCAAAAAACACAAAAAAAUUUGGGCACAACUUGAAGAGUUACAAUGGUGAAGUAUUUAGGAACUUUUACACAAAAUGGGAAACAAUGCUAGUUUGCUUAGGAAUAAGGAAUUACAUGAUAACUCCUAGGCUUAUAUGAACAAAUUGGGGUAUUUUACUUUCAUCUCAUCUUUCGCUUCCCACGUGGCCUCUUUGACUUGUUGGUUUUGCAAAACCACCUUAACCGAAACAAUUUCCUUAUUUCGCAACCUAAAUAAUUGUCUAUCCAAAAUAGCAAAUGGAGUCUCUUCAUAUGAUAGCUCUUCAGUGACCAUGAUGCCUUCAACUGGCACGAUGGUGGACGGAUCCCCUACCACUUUCCUUAACAUGGACACAUGGAACACCGGGUAAACUAUGGACAUUUCAGGAGGCAACUCCAACCUAUAAGCCACUUUUCCGACCUUCGAAUAAUCUAAUAAGGCCCGACAUACCUAGGACUUAGCUUCCCCUUCUUCCCAAUCUGCAUGACUCGUUUCAUGGGAGACACCCGCAAGAAUACCCAAUCACCUUCUUGAAACAUCAAUUCCGUUCGAUGCACAUCCACAUAGGAUUUAUGGCGACUCUGAGCAGUCUUCAUCCUUUCUUGAAUGACAUUAACUUUUUCCAUGGCCUGGUGCACAUGAUCCGGCCCUAUCAAUUCUACCUCACCUACUUCGAACCACCUGAUCGGGGAUCUGCAGCUCCUCCUGUACAAUGCUUCAAAUGGGGCCAUCUGGAUGCUAGCAUGGAAGCUGUUAUUGUUAGCAAAUUCUAUAAGGGGCAAAUGAUCAUCCCAAUUACCCUUGAAAUCCAAGACACAAGCCAGCAACAUAUCUUUGAGAGUCUGAAUAGUCCGCUCUGCUUGACCAUCAGUCUAUGGAUGAAACGUCGUGCUGAGGUUCACCUGAGUACCCAACCCUUGUUGAAAUUUCAUCCAAAAGUUAGUUGUGAAUUGAGCCCCUCGAUCCGAAAUAAUAUAAAGUGGAGUACCAUGAAGUAUCACUAUUUCCUUGAUUUACAAUCGAGCAUAUUGUUCUGCAGUAUCGGUGGACUUGACAGGCAAGAAGUGAGCUGAUUUGGUAAGUCGAUCAACUAUUACCCAAAUUGAGUCGAACUUAUGCUGAGUGCGAGGUAGUCCUGUCACAAAAUCCAUAUUUAUCAUCUCCCAUUUCCACAUUGGUAUCUCUAUUAGAUGGGUUAGCCCACCGGGCCGCUGAUGCUCGGCCUUUACUUGCUGACAGUUCGAACACUUUGAUACGAAGUCUGCCACAUCCCUCUUCAUACCGCUCCACCAAUAAAUUUCCUUGAGAUAGUGAUACAUUUUUGUAUAACCUGGAUGCACCGAAUACCUAGAAUGAUGAGCCUCCACCAUUACCCUUUCCCAAAGAUUAUAUACAUCUGGAACACACAACCUAUCUUGCCAUCGCAACACACCAUCAUUGAUGUUGAGAGAAAAUGCUGAAAUCUUGCUGCUCCGAACCGCCUCCUUUAUUUGUGCUAAUGCUGGAUCAAUGAACUGCUUUUCCUUGACUUCCACUACAAGCGACGACCCUUCUACGUUGUGCACCAUAAUCGCCUCCUCAUUUGGGGUCGAGAUACAAACCCCAAGACUGGACAACUGAUAAACCUCUCGAGCUAGGAACCUCCGAUCUGAUCCCAAGUGAGCCAAACUACCAACGAAUUCCCGAAUGAGGGCUUCAGCCACCACGUUCGCCUUCCCUAGAUGGUGCAAGAUGUUCCUAUCAUAAUCCUUGAGUAAUUCUAACCACCGCCACUGCCUCAAGUUUAACUCCUUCUACUUGAAAAAAUAUUGGAGACUUUUGUGGUCCGAGAACACAUCCACAUGGACCCCAUAAAGGUAAUGCCGCCACUUUUUUAAGGCGAACACAACAGCUGCAAGCUCCAAAUCAUGCGUCGGGUAAUUUUUCUCGUGAUUCUUGAGUUGCCUUGAAGCAUACACUAUAACCUUCCCAUUUUGCAUGAGCACACAACCUAAACCGACCCUGGAGGCAUAUUUAAGGCGAACACAACUGCUGCAAGCUCCAAAUCAUGCGUUGGGUAAUUUUUCUCAGGAUCCUUGAGUUUCCUUGAAUAAUACGCUAUAAGCUUCCCGCGCUACAUGAGAACACACCCUAAACCGACCUUGGAGGCAUCACAAUACACUAUAAACCCUUAUGUGCCUUCCGACAAAGCCAACACUGUUGCUGAGGUCAACCUUGACUUUAAUUCCUGAAAACUCUUCUCAAAAGCAUCAGACCAUUCGAACUUGACUAAUUUCGGUGUCAAUUAAGUUAAUGGGGAGUCAAGGGUAGAGAACCCCUCUAGAAACCUCCGAUAAUAACCUGCUAACCCCCAAAAGCUACGAAUCUCCAUCGGGGUUGUCGGUCUGAGCCAAUACUUCACUGCUGCAAUCAUUUUGUGGUCCGCUUGAAUCCCGUUUCCCGAAACAACAUGUCCUAGAAAAGUGACAGACUCCAACAAAAAUUCACAUUUUGAGAAUUUAGCAUACAAUUGGUGCUGAUGAAGAGUUUGCAAAACUGCCCUGAGGUGAUAGACAUGAUCCUCCCUGCUUCGCGAAUAAAUAAGGAUGUCCUCAAUAAAAACAACCACAAAGGAGUCCAGAAAUGGCUUGAAGACCCGAUUCAGAUCCUUGAAAGCUGCCGGGGUGUUGGUUAGCCCGAAAGACAUGACCAAGAAUUUGAAGUGAUCAUAGCGCGUUCUGAAGGCGGUUUUAGGAAUUUCCCGCUCUCUGAUCUUCAAUUGGUGAUGUCCGGAUCACAGUUAAAUUUUAGAGAAGAACUUUGCACCUUGCAAUUAGUCAAACAAAUCAUCUAUCUAGGGCAAAGGGUAUUUAUUCUUGAUGGUGAACUUGUUAAGCUGCCGAUAAUCGAUACACAUCCGAAGCGACCCAUCCUUCUUCCUGACGAAAAGAAGUGGAGCACCCCAUGGCGGCACACUUGGUCGAAUGAACACAAUACAGGAUGGCGCCAUCCUGUAUUGUGGAAUAGAUAUUGGCUGAGUAUCUGGAAACACAUCGAUCCCAAAGUCAAUCUCCCUAUCUGGCGGAAUCUCAGGAAGCUCAUCUAGAAAUACCUCCAGAAAUUCAUUUACAACUGGCAUGGAUCCGAGGGCAGGCACAUCUGAAGUAGUGUCCGACACCUAGAUAAAAUGAUAGAUACACCCCUUCCUAAUCAUCUUUGAAGCCUUAGGGUAAGAAAUAAACCUACCUUUUGGCACAACACCAUUCCCUCUCAACUCAAUAUCCGGCUCAUUGGGAAACUCGAGUCUCGUGACUCUUGUCCGACAAUCAGGUUAGUAAAGCACGAAUAAAGCUAGUCCAUUCACAUAAUCACAUCAAAAUCUACCAUCCCAAUCUCAAUUAGAUCAGUCGUGGUAACACGACCACACACCGUGACAACACAAUUCCUAUUAUCUCGCGCGGCUGUAACAGAAUCACCAAUCGGAGUCGACACAGAGAACGUCUCAAGAAGUCGUUCGUGCUCAAUAACAUAUGACAAAGAAGACCCAUGGACAAUAAGAGCAUAACAAUCAAUGGCCUGAACAGACAAGAUACAUGUAAUCACAUCUGGAGAAGACUCAACAUUCUGGAAACCACUCAAAGCAAAGAACCGACUCGGUCUACCUCUACCACGAGCCCCACCCCUAUCUGCACCACGCCAUGCUGGAGCUGGAAGACGCACAGAUGAUGUAGCAACUGAAGAACUGGAUGGCGGGGCGAAUCCCCUACCCAUGCCCUGUCUAGGUGCACUACAGUUCCUCUAAACAUGACCUCUCACCCCGCAAUAAUAACACACCGAGAUGUCCAAAUAGCAAGUCUCCAUGUGGAAUCUCCCGCACUUGGGACAUGUAGCUCCCCCUGCUGCUGUGGCCUCACCUUAUCUGAGUGCACAACAGUUCCGCUGGACAUGACCUCUUACCACACAAUUAUAACAGACCAGGAUGUCCAAAUAGCAAGUAUCGAUGUGCAACCUCCCACACUUGGGACAUGUAGCUCCCCCUGCUGCUAGGGCCUCACUCCUGAAUGAUUGGACUGGUUGAACCUCCUGCUGUCAGAACCUGGUCUCGAAGAACUAGCAUGCUGAUCACUAUGCAUAGAUGGUGGUGCGCUAGCUGAAGACUGGACAUAUGAUCGGGAUGGCCCUGAUGUCCCCCUCCCUUGAGCUGACCUCCCUGAGCGACACAUCGACCGAGCCCUGUUGCUAUUCUCCAUAUCUGCCAGUAUAUUCAAUUUCCUAGCCUUAGUGGCCUGAGCGAAACCCACAAUCUUCCCAUAGUUCAUAUAUGCGGGUAAUGCCGCUGUAGUAGCCUCAUUCACCAAUAAUGGACUAAGUCCCUGAACAAACCAUUGAACUCGAGCACUCAUGGUCGACACAACCUGAGGAGCAUACUUGGACAAUCAUACAAACUCCACAUGGUAUUCCCAAACAUUGAUGCUGCCCGCUUGAGAACCUCUAACUCGUUGGCGCGGGUUGCCAUUUUCUCGGCAGGAAAGAAAUUAUCCAUAAAAGCAUCCACAAAUUCCUCCCAUCUAGCCAGAGGGCUCCCCUCCUCGUAGUAACCCUCCCACUUCUUGAACCACGAACGUGCCAAUCCCUUCAACCAAUAGGAAGCCAACUCAAACCCCUCUAAUUCUGUGGCCUUCAUCACACGAAGGGUCUUGUACAUCUCAUCAAGAAAAUCCUACGGAUCGGCCUCUAGGUCUGCUCCUGAAAACUCUUGAAGGGUCAAUCUCAGAAACUGGUGGACUCUGGAGCUAGCAGAAUCUCCCUGCCCGUUGGAGGACAUAGGGGCAUCAUGAGAUCUCUGGGCCUGAGAAGCCGCCAACUAGGUCAACAUAUAGAUGGCUCCCCUAAGGUCCCCAUCAGAAGCCUAGGGACCGUGAGCUGAAACAAUGCCAGGAUUAGGAUAAUCGGCAGGAGGAUUGGUGACGCCCUCUGCCACUACUGGAACAGGAGUGCUAGGAUCCGGAAGGGACGAGCGAGGCAGAUUCAAAGCCGAGGAGUCACUCUCACCCAUGGCGUCAGGUACAUGGCUCGCAAUCACACUCGGGGUGGUGCUGGCCUCAAGGACGAGUAUAACCUUCUUCUUAGGUGCCAUCUAUGAAAAUUUCUGAACAAGGCACGAGUUAGACACAAACACUUUCACUUUUCACUUUAUCGCACGAAAUGGAAUAACAAGGAAAGAGUAGUUUCCUAAAUGCCCGUGUAGCCCCCUACUCAUAGAUGCGGUCGACAACACACCGAUAAUAACGGCUCUACUAGGCACGGCUCUGAGACACCCUAGGACUCUUAUUAAAACCUUAGUCUCUGAUACCAAGUUUGUCAUGCCCAAAAUCCAAGGGACAUGACUGGCACUCUACUGGGUAAUCCCCACUCGAGUGGACCUUGGUGCCUUCUCUGACCCACGAGUUACCCCACAUUUUUCAUUACUUUACUACCCAAAUGGAAACCACGGUUUAUAAUUGAAAUACCUUUUAACAUGCCAUACAUACAUACAUGAUAUUACGUGGUUUUCAAUUUAUGACACCCAAAACACAAGUACAUAUUACAUUGUUCGUGACCCACACUUCAUGUCUACGGAGCCUCCAAGGAUACAAGAUGAUAGUACUAUAAUUUCCGGUAACAAGUCUCCGAUGAUACCCUUUUACAAAAACCAAAAUAAGACUCCAAAAUACAAGAACGAGGGUGGCAUCAGCCACGCAGGGCCCCGUAAGGAAAGGGGAUCACCAAUGCAGCUCAUGCGGAAUGAGGAAGAGCUACGGAUGGUGGGCUGGAGUACCUUCUGAAGAUCCACCUACAAUCAUAACAUGAAUGUAGCGCCCCUAGCAAAAGAGACUCAACACAUUUGAAUUGUACUAGUAUGUAUGAACAAAACUUCUCCUAUGUAAACACAAGCCAUAUGCAAAUAGAACAGAGCAAUGGAAGUAGGAACCAAACACACACAUAGAGGGUACAAUUAGUCAAACAAAAGGGCAAUCAGUGCCCCAUAGGUUACAAACUCUCUUGCUGUCUACUUUCACAAUUCCACAUCAUUGAUUUCAGAAUUUUGUUCAAUUGGAUGGCAGGGCGAAUCCCCUACCCAUGCCUUAUCUGAGUGCACAACAGUUCCGCUGGACAUGACCUCUUACCACACAAUUAUAACAGACCAGGAUGUCCAAAUAGCAAGUAUCGAUGUGCAACCUCCCACACUUGGGACAUGUAGCUCCCCCUGCUGCUAGGGCCUCACUCCUGAAUGAUUGGACUGGUUGAACCUCCUGCUGUCAGAACCUUNNNNNNNNNNNNNNNNNNNNNNNNNNNNNNNNNNNNNNNNNNNNNNNNNNNNNNNNNNNNNNNNNNNNNNNNNNNNNNNNNNNNNNNNNNNNNNNNNNNNNNNNNNNNNNNNNNNNNNNNNNNNNNNNNNNNNNNNNNNNNNNNNNNNNNNNNNNNNNNNNNNNNNNNNNNNNNNNNNNNNNNNNNNNNNNNNNNNNNNNNNNNNNNNNNNNNNNNNNNNNNNNNNNNNNNNNNNNNNNNNNNNNNNNNNNNNNNNNNNNNNNNNNNNNNNNNNNNNNNNNNNNNNNNNNNNNNNNNNNNNNNNNNNNNNNNNNNNNNNNNNNNNNNNNNNNNNNNNNNNNNNNNNNNNNNNNNNNNNNNNNNNNNNNNNNNNNNNNNNNNNNNNNNNNNNNNNUUUUUUAACAAGAAUUAUAUAUAUAUAUAUAUAUAUAUAUAUCAAUAGUGAUUUCGAUCACUUUUUCCACCCUUCUUACAUCAGCCACCCUUAAUACCUCGUCCACCCUUAUCACACCAACCCACACCUUAUUUCACCAUGUUGCGAUGCGCAACCCGACCCUGCCGUACAGUUUCAAUUCACAACAAACAUAACCAAAUAGCAAGUCACAAAGAUAAACAACAAGUACACCUCAAGACAUCGCCACAAUAGUGUUACUAGUGUUUUCAUGACUAUUAGUACCGAUUUCAUUACGUUCAACAGUUCAUACUCAAUUCAAGUUACCACAAUAGCCCACAACAUUUCAAGUACAUUGUUAUAGCCAUUUACAGGUUCCUUUAAUAACUUGUUAUUCAAAUUUUACCACAAGGUGUAUUCACAAUCAAACCAGUCACAAGACACUCACCAAUAACCAACGAGGAUAUGAACUACCAAAUAAUUCACAUACCAAGCAAGGCGAUUUCACAAGAAUCAAGGUUAGCCAUACGUACCUGAAGUCGAAUUCCCUUUUUAAGCUUCUAUUCUCAGUCACCAAGCUAUCUAGCAUAGCCCUCUACUUCUAUCCAAUUUUCCCUUUACUAGAUUCUAGGUUUGAGUGACAUGCAUGAGGGUUUUUAGUUGUUUGUUCAAAAUUAAAGCAUAGGACUCCCUUCCCUUAACUUAACUCAGAAAAAUUGGGGAAAAGGUUAGAGGUCUUACCUGAAAGAGUGGAGAUGGAGACAAUAACUUCAAAUUUUCUGGCCCAGAUGGUUUUGGAGGAUCAAUUUGAUGGAAAUUUCUUUAUCUCUCAAGAACUCUCCCUUCCCUCUCUCUUGUUUUGUUCAGAAAAUUUUUAAAAGUGAGGGGUUGGAGUGUUUUAUUUGAAAAUAGUUGGGUUUAAAAUUUUUAGAAAAUUGAUGUUCGUGACAGAUCUGCGGUUAAAUAUGCGAUUGCAUAGCUGACAUUCGGUCCUUAUAUUGGACUGCAGAGUGGUCCCAAAUUGCACGCUUCUCUGUUUAGGUACGCGGUGAGAAUGUUGUCCGCAUAAACGUUCUGCAGUUGCAGAUUGCACCAUAGAAUUGACCUCCACAAUUCCUCGAGAAAUUAAUGUAAGUACUAUGCGGUCCGCAUAUUGGUUAUGCGAUUGCGUAAUGGACCGCAUUUUCAACAUCCAAUUUGGCUACUCUCUGAUUCACGCUGCGGUCGAUAUGCGGUCCGCAUACCUGAUCUGUGACAGCAUUCCUGACAGCAAAAUGACGUUUUUCGAGAAAAAAUUAACUCCAGAUUAUUAAGUGUAAAAUCAGAAAAAAAAGAUUCCGACACAUCGAUGGACCUGACUAUAUGAGUUUUUAGGACUUGAGCACUCAUUUUCACGGGGUCUUACAAAGAGCCUGCAUGAGAUCAUGGAUGGAGCCAUCAAUGUCAAAGCUUUCGAUGGUUCCCAAAGGUCCACUAUUGGGGAAAUAAAUUUGUAUCUGCAAAUGGGACUGUCUUUGUUCGACAUUGAUUUUUAUGUGGUAGACAUCCCAACUUCUUACAACUUGCUAUUGGAACGGCCCUGGAUUCAGGAUGCUGGAGAUGUAGCGUCAAUCCUACACCAGGCAGAUUGGAGAUGAAUCACCUAGAGGUAAUUAUUCAUGGCGACGGUAGCAAUUUCAUAUACAGUCGCCAGACCAUCCCGGAAAUCGUAGAAAGAAGGAAGAUAGGCGGAGAAACAUACCACCACAUUGAGCAAGUCAACACUAUUGAUUAGGACUGUCACACUUCCUUUUUCACUAGACCCGCAAGGGUGUAAAGGAGUUUUUCCAAUUAAAGGACAAUCAGAACGGGAUUUAUUAAUAAGAUUUUAGAGUCGCCACUCUGGAGAUUAAUGGUAUCCCAAGUCACAGGUUGAAUCCGGAAUUGAGGAAAAUAUGACUAUGUUAACAGUCCGCGAAUAUAAAAUCCGAGUAAGGAAUUCUAUUAACUGGGGAGAAGGAGUUAGGCAUUCCCGGGUUCCGUGGUUCUAGCAUGGUUGCUCAACUGCCGCAUUUGGAUUUAUGUGAUUAUAGAACAUGUUCUAGCUUAUGUGCUUUUUAUUGUAAACCGCUUUUGUUAUUAUUUUUUAACAAGAAUUGUAACGGCGUGAAAAUGCAUCUCGAACCACGCACAUGAAUGCACCCAUGGUUGUUGACACAUUUCGACUUUAUUGAGAUUUUGAAUUAGGUUGCAUAACUGCGCACCCGGGUUCAAGAAGGUAAUUUAAUAAAAGUGCGCCUAAAGCGACUAACACGUUAUCUUUGGAGAGGUUCGUGAAAUUCACUAGACAACCCAUCCCGAAUUUUAAGUGUUUUUAAUUAAAUAUUCAAUGAGGGCCCCGCAAAUUAUAUUUUUAUUUGGCGAGGCUCGUCUCAUUUUAUAUAAGGAUCAAUCCUAAGCGGCUAUGAUUUUCUAUUGGGUUUCGUCUCUAUCAAUCAAUUAACAUGCUUGAAAUGUCUAAAAGUCCAUAAGUCAAUUUCCUACAAAUAGGCCUAAUAACCGAAUCAAGUAUUUCAAAGCAAUUCAGGCCUCAUUUGAAAAGGGUGAGACUGCCUGGGCCGGGGCAAUCCCACUCUUACUUUUAAUUUGGAGCCGGUAAGCAUACAUUCAGUAAUUAAAUCAACAUAAACUGCAAUUAAUCUAUCUCAGACAAAGCUCAACUAUUUUAUGUGAUCUUCUAUAUGUUGCAAAGUGAAUUAGACGUGAAUACUCUAAUCCCAAAGAAUCAAUAUGACUUCAUGUUUAACCUGCAAAUUCGAGUUUUAACUUAAGUUAACCAUGAUUCAUUUUAGAUCUUCAAACAAUGUUGCUUCUAGAUCCAAUUAGACAAGCUCACAUGCUCAUGAGGAGCGUUUAUACACUACUGAAUAUAGUCUAAUUUUUCUAGUUAAUAUAGAUGGCACCUAUUUGAACAGCAGUCCCAAGCAAUUGUUUCAAGGCACAAACACAAACACAAUAAUCAAAUGAAUGAGUAUAAGCCUAUUAUCUCAUCAGUUCGAUGAUGUACAUCAUAGCCUAGUUUUACUAUAGAAUUUGAAUAUUGGAUACCAAAUGUAUGAAUCUACUUACACAAUCCAAAACCAAUUUAAUUAUACAAAAUCCAGCAGUGAAUUACACAAAAUCAGUGAAUGAAAUGGCAAGUAAACAACACAUGAAAAUAGCCAGAUCAGGAUUUAAGUUUCACCUCUUCAGAUAGACUCAUGCUUCAAUUUUUUAGCUUAUAAUUUCCAAAGAAACAGUCAUGUUCCUGCAAUAUAGAUCAAAAUAAGACGCAGGAGGUUAGUAGUAGUUAGAAGACGAUCACAGGCAGCCUAGAAGCAGAAUCGACAACCAGAAAUGUCGAAAACCCAAAACAGAAUUUGCAAUUAAUCCAGAACACACUUGGACAAACCCAAAAAGGCUCAAAACUACUCCCAACACAACUUUUGAAGCUAACAGACAACCAAAUACCCUAGAAUAGACUCAGCCAACCAACUACAACUCGAAAUCACCCAAAUAAACUCGAAGAUGAACCCAAAAUGCUUCAAAAGAAAAUGACUAAACCCAAACCAGUUCUGUUAUGCCCAAAAUCACUUUAACAAGGCAACAAAUCACUCCAGAAGCUUUUAGUAACUCGAAUUUAGCACAAAAAUAAAGACACUCAAUAAGGAAUUUAGAAAAGAUCUAAAUAGUCAAUGGAACAAUGAUUUUUUUUUAGUUUCUGCUUUUUUUUAUUUUCUCUUAAGGAAAGCUCAGAUAUAAAAGUAGUUUUGAGCUAUAAUUUGACUUCUCAGAUCUACAGGCUUAAGAAGUGUUUUUAAGGGGAAAUUUAUGGCUCAAAUCUUUUAGAUUUUUCUUCUAAAGCUGAGAGAAGGUUAUUGAACUUUGAAAAAUCAUAUAUGCCUCCUCCCUUUCUCAAAAGAGAACCCAUGCUUUUAUAGCAAGACCAAUAUAGUUACCUACUCCCCUAGACAAUACCUCCAAUUCCUCCACAUUCCUCACAUGUGACCUCCCCUAUCCACUAGAACCUUCCCUCAACAGAAAUUAAUUCCCUCCUAUAAUAAAUUUCCAAACUGACCCUCAAUCAAAUAUCUAACCUACCCUCUAAUACCCAGGUUAUUUACCCCUGUUAUUACCCUUUAAGAUUUCAGA